GGUGCCAUGGUGUAGCUGGUUCAAGUACCUGUCUAUUAAACUAGAAAUUCUGGAUUCAAAUCCCAGUGGUGCCU
Non-coding RNA from Alligator mississippiensis (American alligator), 74 nucleotides. NCBI's taxonomy places the organism in Eukaryota, Metazoa, Chordata, Crocodylia, Alligatoridae. The record is from Rfam.